Molecule: long non-coding RNA, 1008 nt
Organism: Hemicordylus capensis (graceful crag lizard)
Lineage: Eukaryota; Metazoa; Chordata; Lepidosauria; Squamata; Cordylidae
Exons: 6
Source: RefSeq, a predicted model, not a curated record
CUUGUUAGUAGUUGUGUGGGGGGAAACUCCCACACUUAAAAACAAGAAGACAAACUAUAGAAGGCCAGGAGGUAAUUCUGUAUAACUGCCUCAGGAGCUGAAAGGCAUGAGUGGAGAGCAGAGAGGGAACUAACUAGCUCCAAUCCCUUCAAUUUUCAUGCUGGGACAGGAACCAACACAGGAAACCUUCAACAAGCAUAUGUCUGCAAGACCAGACUAACCAGUAGGUUUCACAAGAAGUCCUGUGGAUAAGGGCUCUGCCUGUGUCACAAAGUCCUAACUAACCAAGAACAUCGUCUUGACGACAGCAUCUGUGCACCAAAUCUCUACAAGGCUAUACAUAAGAAAUGAGGACUAACAUGUUGUGCCAAAGCCUUCAUGGAAAAGGUGGAUUAUAAGAAGAAUAAUGGAUGGAUGGAUGGAAAGAAAUAGUGCUAUUUCACUAUUUAUAAAAAACUAAUGAAAGAAAAUCAGUCAUUAAAGCCUUCCCCCUCUGGGAACAGAACCGGGCAUUGAGGGAAUUCAGAGAGUCUCUUCAAGGAGCAAUUCUGGCAUCCGCACUCAUACACAGAUGCACCACACAUGCACACAAUGCCAGUGAUGAGUCAGUGGUCUGAUGCAACCACAUGUCUGAGAGCCUUGCAAUGCCGUAAAGCUGUGGUGGCCCUGCCAGCCUGAAGAUUUUAAAAAAAUAUUAGCAUGCACAAAAGAAAGACGACUUCUCAGUAGAUGUCUCUGUUGGUAUUGUUGACCUGUUAUUGACAGUCAAACACUUAUUGCUGAGAAUAUAUUACCAGCUCAGUAUCUAAAAAAUGGCAGAGGUCAACCCUACAGGAAAAGCAGCUCCAACAUACUGGUACUCCAGCUCAGAUGGCAAAUGGAAAGCUUCAGGAAAGAAAAUGGGCACACUUAACAAGACUGAAGCCAUAUUCCAGGCAAUAGGAAUAAACACACCUAUCCUUGAUGCUAUGUUUAUAAUGCCUCCAAUAAAAAAAAGGUUGAAGACAA